Small nuclear RNA from Otolemur garnettii (small-eared galago), 142 nucleotides. Its record names the gene U4. It matches the Rfam family "U4 spliceosomal RNA". Rfam says of the family: U4 small nuclear RNA (U4 snRNA) is a component of the major U2-dependent spliceosome. The structure of U4 snRNA from yeast and human has been reported. NCBI's taxonomy places the organism in Eukaryota, Metazoa, Chordata, Mammalia, Primates, Galagidae. The record is from Ensembl.
AGCUUUGUGCAGUGGAAGUGUUGUAGCCAAUGAGGUUUAUCCCAGGAGCAAUUAUUGCUAAUUGAAAACCUUUCCCAAUACCCCGCUGUGACGACUUGCAAUAUAGUCUAAAGUUGGCAACUUUUGAUGGUCUCUAUGGAGA